RNAcentral lists this ribosomal RNA (397 nucleotides) under uncultured bacterium. Its description in RNAcentral is "partial 16S ribosomal RNA". It matches the Rfam family "Bacterial small subunit ribosomal RNA", at positions 523 to 918 of the family's 1533-position model. The record is from RNAcentral.
AUACGUAGGUGGCGAGCGUUGUCCGGAAUUACUGGGCGUAAAGGAUGCGUAGGUGGAUAUUUAAGUGGGAUGUGAAAUCCCCGGGCUCAACCCGGGAACUGCAUUCCAAACUGGGUAUCUAGAGUGCAGGAGAGGAAAGCGGAAUUCCUAGUGUAGCGGUGAAAUGCGUAGAUAUUAGGAGGAACACCAGUGGCGAAGGCGGUUUUCUGGACUGAAACUGACACUGAGGCAUGAAAGCGUGGGUAGCAAACAGGAUUAGAUCCCCUGGUAGUCCACGCCGUAAACGAUGGGUACUAGGUGUAGGAGGUAUCGACCCCUUCUGUGCCGUCGUUAACACAAUAAGUACCCCGCCUGGGGAGUACGGUCGCAAGACUAAAACUCAAAGGAAUUGACGGGG